RNAcentral lists this long non-coding RNA (1511 nucleotides) under Aotus nancymaae (Ma's night monkey). RNAcentral's name for it is "lncRNA (ENSANAG00000039068.1)". Lineage: Eukaryota; Metazoa; Chordata; Mammalia; Primates; Aotidae. The record is from RNAcentral.
GUGGGUAUAAGAGGCUGGGGAGGCAAGCAUAGCAACCAGAGCUGGAGACUGAUGUGAACUUGAUCUUUCUCCCCAGAAAAGGCUCGACAUCAACUAUAUAGCCAACAUGUCCAAGGUGUUUAAGAAGACCAGCUCCAAUGGGAAGCUCUCCAUCUACCUGGGGAAACGGGACUUCGUGGACCACGUGGACACAGUGGAACCCAUUGAUGGUGUAGUCCUGGUUGAUCCCGAGUACUUAGAAGGUCGAAAGUGUAAGUGGAAAUCCUUGUUGGUCUUUGUAUGUUUCAGACAGGUAACCCGAUGAGUGGAUUGCGCCAGAAAUGUAUAAGAAAACCAGAAUGUGGCAGGAACUGUGAAUACCUUGUCUGGUGGAGGCUGACAACUGGGAAUUCCAGCCCAGUGUGGCCAAAUUUUCUAAUUGUUAACUAGAAACUGUAAAUGAAGCUCAAAAUAUGAAAAGAUUAUGGUGCCCCCUUACCCAAAUAAUAGUCCAAGUAAAUAUCUAAAGCAUAAAUUAAAUUUUAUUUUUCAAAAUUAUACAGAAUUUACACGUGCUGAAAUUAAAAUAGCUUCUUUCAAAAUUGUGAAUUUUCUCUAUUAUUAUUGGUGGUGCCCCUGCUUGGCUAUUGAUCUGAAUCUUAGACUGCCUAUGAUAUAAUCCAAUAAGCCAGAAAUCCAUAUUUUAAUGCAAAUUUCCUGAUUUUCAAAUGUUGGCAACUCACCAAAAGACUUUAGAAGCCUGGAUAGAUUAAACCCCCAACCCCGCUUUUUUUUCUGUUGGCCAGAUGUGACCUUCAGGCUGCCAUUCUGCAACCUCUGGUAUACAUCUUUCAUCUUCCUUUUUGUGUUAGGAAACUGCCUGACCUUUUAUUCGAGAAAAAAAUUCCAAAGAAACAAAAUAACCAUAAGAAGUAACAGUAAGAAACAUUACUCUGGAAGCAGCACUACAGAUCAAGAUUACACUGAAUUUUUUUUUUUUUUUUUUGGCUGCUUUUUUUCCCUUUUAAUUCUCACUAUGGAUUAACUCCACUGUGAUCCAACUAGAAUGAAAAUUGGGUUUGAUUUGAAAAAGGCCCUGAAUGGGUUGAUGAAUACUAGUUCAGAUGUAACCAUUAGAUAUUGGAGAAUAAAGCAGCCUAAAUCUCUUAGAUUAAGCAAUGUCAAAAAGCAAUCCAGUCAAUUUGAAAUAUUAGAGGAACUUUGGAAUAGGCUCAUAAAUUAACCAACUUAUUUGAGGUUCCCAAGUAUUCUAUAUUUCUAAAAUCGAAAUCAUUUUUUCACAUUUCUAUAAAAUCCUCACAAGCUAUGGAAAGAAAUCUUUAGUUAAAAAAUAUAUGUUGUUCUAGGAAGAUAAUGCAUUUUUCCUUUUAUUCUAAUCUUCCUUUAUGUCCCCUUAGUACAGUUUUAUAUUACUUUUCAUUUAAGUUGCGCACGUUUCUUUCUUUUUUUUUUUUUUUUUUUUUUGAGACGGAGUUUCGCUCUCGUUGCCCAGUCUGGAGUGCAAUGGCAGG